AUGCGUCCUGGGGGGGCCAACGGCUGGACAUGCCCUGAAACCCCGUGGAAGAAGCAACAGCCACGGAACAGCUUUGCCUCUCCGCCCCUCCCUCUCUCCCCUAGGCCGGCGGCGGCGCCCGUGUUCCUCUGCUCAGCUUCGGUACAUUCGACGCGAUUUGCCCUUUCUCUUUCCCGUCCCCCCAAACUCGGCGCCGGCACAUCUCCUCUCCGGCGACAUGUCUGCCGGUGGCAUCGAGCGCUACGGGCGGGGCGGCAGGUUAAUUCGAUGCAACCCAUGGCUGUGGUGCCUCCGGUGGAGUCGCAAGCUUCGAUGAGUGUCGCAGAUGGCCAGAUUUGUCGCGUUGCCGAUCCAGCAGUGCCCAACUCCGGUGAUUUCCAGUUGGACUGAAACGGGGGAUUUGAGGUGUGCUCUGAAGCUACGAGCAGAUGGACAAGAAGGUAUGUAGUUCUAAACUUGAAUUUGAUUUGUUCUACGGGCCAAGAAAAAAUGUGUGUAGUUUGUCCUGCAAGUAGUGUGUCAGUUAUGUGAAUGCAUGUUUGACUGUUUCGAUUCAUGUAUGUGCUGCCAUGACUGAAUUCAUAUGUUCUUUUUUUUGGUCUUUUUCAGCUAUUAAUGAGCUUGACUAAAUGGAUUUCCAAUUGUUGUUUGUUUUGGUCAGUAGUGCGUUAUUGUUUGUUCCUAGUUCCGGGAAUUCCGCUAAAUAAGUAACUCUGCUGACAUUUUGUGAAGAACACCGCAUGAAGUGUGUUCAUGCCUUUUUGUGCGACUGAACGAUAAGCAAAGUUUACCCAUUUUUCUCGUAAUUAAUAUGUUCAUUUCGGUAGAUAGCUAAGCUGUCUGGAGAAAUAAAUAAUCCCCUUUGCCAAGUUCUUGUAAAUUAAAUUAGCUGUAAAUGGUAAAAUUUUCAGUAAGUGUGCCUGCAUUGGUCAGGUUUUGGACAAUUAGCUGAUUACCUUUUGAUUGCCAUGUUAUAGCUCAUGCUACAAAAAAUGUGUUUUAGUUUUUGCUUCUGUUGUACUACUAUGGCAUGACCCAGUCAGACACAAUAUAAUUUAUGUUAAUGUGUUUUCCUUCAAUAUCUGUACCUAACUGAACAAACACUCAUAAAUUGUCACCCACAAGCUGCAGUCCGAAUUGGAAAGAAGAUGUCUUCUGGAUAGUUGGUUUCUGAACUUAUUUUUCAACCAAAAUGCUGCAGUACCAAUUAGAAUUCUAUGCUUAGGUUAUUAAGAUAUUCAGUGUGGCAGCUUGUACUUUUUCGAUCAUAUAAAUUCGGUUCAAUUUUUUUUAAGCAGCCGUGCGUGCUAGCUUGCUGUUUGAUUAACCAGUUACUUAGUAGAGGUCAACUGGGCUAUAGAAUUCUGCACUCCAUAGUAUAGGAUAAUUGUCAUGGAUGCAUCUAUUCUGAAGUUAGUGAUCAGUAAUUAAGAUAGCAUCUCCAUAUUUUGCAGGCCCGGUUUUGUCGCUUUAUUUUUCAAUUAGUUCACUAGGACACGCAUGCGUUUGACAAAGAUACUACAAUGUAACCUCUCCAUAUUUUCCAACCAGUCCCUUUGUGAUAUGCUAAUUUUUCCCCUGUUUUUAUGUUCUACCAUUAGUCUGCUAAGUAGGAAACAUGUUGACCGGUAAUGUUCAGGAAUUAUCAAACUGUUCAGGUAUAGCGCCUGCGAAGGACUGACAUACUGCAGGUUGACAUACUUCAAGAGAAUAAGCAAAGGUCUAGGUUCUGCACCAUACGUCGAGGUCAGGGACACAAGAUUACCACAUGCAUGUGCUGAACGAGGUGACAUCCCUAAGGCUCCGAGGAAAUUGCCAAAGUGUUCGAAGUGUGUAGUGCUUGGUCACAGGAAGAAUGUGCGACUUACCGAUCAAUUUGAGCCGAACUUCCUUUAGCCCCGCUUUAUCAAAUGUAGCAAGAGUGUUUCGGAAUUCAGUUUCUCUACAUUUGAGUUCAUAAUUUUGUUCAUGUUCACCGGGUCAUUGUUGUGAUGACUGUUUGGGACUUAAUGAGAUAUUUUAUUCGAAUUGUCGGGACAUUUAGUUGAUA
Triticum urartu is the source of this 2050-nucleotide non-coding RNA. The record is from RefSeq and is a predicted model, not a curated record. Lineage: Eukaryota; Viridiplantae; Streptophyta; Magnoliopsida; Poales; Poaceae.